UGGGGGAUAUUGCACAAUGGGGGAAACCCUGAUGCAGCGACGCCGCGUGGGUGAAGAAGUAUUUCGGUAUGUAAAGCCCUAUCAGCAGGGAAGAAAGAAG
This 100-nucleotide ribosomal RNA is filed under the name uncultured bacterium. Its description in RNAcentral is "partial 16S ribosomal RNA". It matches the Rfam family "Bacterial small subunit ribosomal RNA", at positions 355 to 454 of the family's 1533-position model. The record is from RNAcentral.